RNAcentral lists this microRNA (20 nucleotides) under Ananas comosus (pineapple). RNAcentral describes it as "microRNA s1582_c092b". The record is from RNAcentral. Lineage: Eukaryota; Viridiplantae; Streptophyta; Magnoliopsida; Poales; Bromeliaceae.
CGACCGCGAACCAAGAAUUU